GUGCUCGAGUGGCGAACGGGUGAGUAACACGUGAGUAACCUGCCCUUGACUUUGGGAUAACUUCAGGAAACUGGGGCUAAUACCGGAUAGGAGCUCCUGCUGCAUGGUGGGGGUUGGAAAGUUUCGGCGGUUGGGGAUGGACUCGCGGCUUAUCAGCUUGUUGGUGGGGUAAUGGCCUACCAAGGCGGCGACGGGUAGCCGGCCUGAGAGGGUGGACGGCCACAUUGGGACUGAGAUACGGCCCAG
Molecule: ribosomal RNA, 246 nt
Filed under: uncultured Actinomycetales bacterium
Lineage: Bacteria; Bacillati; Actinomycetota; Actinomycetes; Actinomycetales
Description: partial 16S ribosomal RNA
Rfam family: Bacterial small subunit ribosomal RNA
Source: RNAcentral